GCUGGGACUGUUUAUAUGCAGUGUAUAACUCUAAACCAAGAGUAAACCAAGCUAACCGACUCAUUACAUUUCUCGUUUACUCUAAUUACUCAUGCAAUAUGUCGACAAAAAAAAAAAAGACUGUUUGUACCGGGCCGCAUCUUUUUUAUGGAGUACCCGUUUGCACCAUGGUGAACAAAAUAAAAUGAUUACAAUCAAGGGAGAAUUGGAAAAAAAAAGAGAUACUUGUUGUAAAAGUAAUGGAAAAGUCUAUCUUUAUUCAUAACAUAGAUGUUCCUUAUAUAAAAGAUUACACCGUCAUAGAUAAAUGAAAAGAUUACAAAUCAUAAUCUCUUGGUUAUGAGCCAUCUACAAUCUAGUUCAUAACACUCCCCCU
This 376-nucleotide long non-coding RNA is filed under the name Brassica napus (rape). RNAcentral's name for it is "long non-coding RNA (BNAP_LNC016035)". Lineage: Eukaryota; Viridiplantae; Streptophyta; Magnoliopsida; Brassicales; Brassicaceae. The record is from RNAcentral.